GAAAGAUAAAACUUUAUUUGACAAUGACAGCAAUCAUACUUAAUUAUACACCAUAAUAUAUAAACUCACGUAUAAAUUUGCUGUCCGCCAAAAAGGCGUCCACUCAGCUAUUGCAGCGCCCUUGGCCACAGCCAAGGACACCGCGCUGGUGUUUCAGUGGAGGCCUCUUUAGUAGUGACGCACUAUUAAAUAAACAAAAAAAUACGAAAGGCUAACAAACACAAGGGAGACAAAGUGAUGAGUGCGCGAGCAACGACAUUGAGGCGGAGCGCGUUCGCCCUGAAACCCGUUUUCAGGCAAGAACGGGACACCCAGCCGACCACACGCGUCGCGCGCGCACCGAAACAGACUAAACACGGAAUAAUAUCAAAGGAAAGUCAACAUAAACAUCAUACUUAUGGAAAGAAAACAAAAAUGGAAGGUUAUAAUUAUAAUAAAUACAUAUGCCUACGUAAAUAAGAUGCUUCAACUUGUUCAUGGAUGAGCAAAUCCGGGAGUUAGCGCUUAUACCUACUUAACGACGACCCACCCUGCGCGUCGUGAAUAACGUCGAGAUCACGUAUAGGCGGUGGGAUGUUAUUAAAGAUAUGACUCGCAAGAUAUUGGAAGCAAUGGCGAUACAUAGCAGCUUUGUGUUUGGGCGUAAGCAUGAGAUAUGAUGAUGCUCUCGUGCUAAUGGAGUGGUGAUUGCGAGCCCAGUCCAGCUUGUCAUAGAGGUAAUCAGGUGAUUGCUGCUUCACUACACCGAAGAGAAGUGUUGCUAGGUGCAGCUUCCAUCGCGCUGCAAUUUUCAAAAGACCCCCCUUGUUCAAGAACGGUGUGACGUGUGAACGAGGAGGAAUCGUGAAGCAGUAUCUUGCGCAUGCGUUCUGAACCCUCUGUAAGAUUUUUUCUGUUUUACGUAGUAAGCAAGGUCCGUAUACAGUGUCAGCAUAAUUCAGUUUAGAAAGUAUAAGUGAUUCGCACAACUGUAUACGGAGUCUUACAUCAAUGUACCGUCUAAUCC
Molecule: long non-coding RNA, 1006 nt
Organism: Plutella xylostella (diamondback moth)
Lineage: Eukaryota; Metazoa; Arthropoda; Insecta; Lepidoptera; Plutellidae
Source: RefSeq, a predicted model, not a curated record